This 590-nucleotide ribosomal RNA is filed under the name uncultured bacterium. RNAcentral's name for it is "bacterial SSU rRNA". It matches the Rfam family "Bacterial small subunit ribosomal RNA", at positions 9 to 618 of the family's 1533-position model. The record is from RNAcentral.
GAGUUUGAUCCUGGCUCAGGAUAAACGCUGGCGGCGUGCAUGAGACAUGCAAGUCGAACGGACGAUCAGGGCUUGCUCUGAUCGUUAGUGGCGGACGGCUGAGUAACGCGUGGGUGACCUACCCCGAAGUGGGGAAUAACUGCCCGAAAGGGUGGCUAAUACCGCAUGUGAUCGUUGAUUCAUUUUUUCGAUCAAAGCCGCAAGGCGCUUCGGGAGGGGCCUGCGUCCGAUUAGCUCGUUGGUGGGGUAAUGGCUCACCAAGGCGACGAUCGGUAGGUGGUCUGAGAGGACGAUCACCCAGACUGGGACUGAGACACGGCCCAGACUCCUACGGGAGGCAGCAGUCGGGAAUUUUGCUCAAUGGGCGAAAGCCUGAAGCAGCAACGCCGCGUGAGGGAUGAAGGCCUUCGGGUUGUAAACCUCUUUUAUCAGGGACGAUUAUGACGGUACCUGAUGAAUAAGCCACGGCUAACUACGUGCCAGCAGCCGCGGUAAUACGUAGGUGGCAAGCGUUGUCCGGAUUUACUGGGCGUAAAGAGCGCGCAGGCGGUCGGAUAAGUCGAAUGUGAAAGCCCCCGGCUCAACUGGGG